This 28-nucleotide non-coding RNA is filed under the name Mus musculus (house mouse). The record is from RNAcentral. Lineage: Eukaryota; Metazoa; Chordata; Mammalia; Rodentia; Muridae.
UGGUACAUCCAAACAGCUUGACGGUCCU